AGCACUUGAAUGUUGUUUUGGUCAAUUUGGCAGACAAAGUCAUAGCAGACAAUUGAAGGACUAAAUUCUCUUUUGUGAUCCUGAACUUAUUGUUCAGGCUGAGUUUUGAUACAUAUGAAAAAGGGGUAUG
Myodes glareolus (Bank vole) is the source of this 130-nucleotide small nucleolar RNA. RefSeq annotates it as small nucleolar RNA SNORA40. Lineage: Eukaryota; Metazoa; Chordata; Mammalia; Rodentia; Cricetidae. The record is from RefSeq and is a predicted model, not a curated record.